UGCUCCCGGUCGGGAUUGAACCGACGACCUUCGCGGUGUAAACACGAUAUGAUGACCACUACAUCACGGGAGC
This 73-nucleotide transfer RNA is filed under the name Polymyxa betae. RNAcentral's name for it is "tRNA-Val". The record is from RNAcentral. Lineage: Eukaryota; Endomyxa; Phytomyxea; Plasmodiophorida; Plasmodiophoridae.